RNAcentral lists this ribosomal RNA (206 nucleotides) under uncultured Lactococcus sp. RNAcentral's name for it is "partial 16S ribosomal RNA". It matches the Rfam family "Bacterial small subunit ribosomal RNA", at positions 568 to 774 of the family's 1533-position model. The record is from RNAcentral. Lineage: Bacteria; Bacillati; Bacillota; Bacilli; Lactobacillales; Streptococcaceae.
AGCGCAGGUGGUUUAAUAAGUCUGAUGUAAAAGGCAGUGGCUCAACCAUUGUGUGCAUUGGAAACUGUUAGACUUGAGUGCAGUAGAGGAGAGUGGAAUUCCAUGUGUAGCGGUGAAAUGCGUAGAUAUAUGGAGGAACACCGGUGGCGAAAGCGGCUCUCUGGACUGUCACUGACACUGGGGCUCGAAAGCGUGGGUAGCAAACA